CAGGCGAUCCUUGUGUCACUCUCUGCUCUUGCCCCAUAAAUAUGGAUCCAGGUCCGAAGGGGCACGGCCAUGGUGGAGGACAUGGUCAC
Molecule: long non-coding RNA, 89 nt
Organism: Propithecus coquereli (Coquerel's sifaka)
Lineage: Eukaryota; Metazoa; Chordata; Mammalia; Primates; Indriidae
Exons: 3
Source: RefSeq, a predicted model, not a curated record